GUGACCGCUGCAAAACGAGUUCCGAUUGACUUACGAUAUUAAAAGUAGCCUGUCAAAAAUCAUAGAAUCGAAAUUCAAGUGUUGAAACGCCAGUUGAGAGUAUGGAGUAUGGAUCAGCAACCUAACCUCACCUCGAAUUUUCAAAGUAGAUAUUUUUCGACACGUUUAGACUGAUUACAGAAAAUUUCCAUCAGAGUCCACGCAGGACGAUGGCAAAAUGAGUUGACAGAACUUUUUUAUUCUCGGGGGAUUCCUGUCGACGAAUUUUACUUACGAAAUUUGAGACUAUCUCUCUCGCACUCAAGGUGCCGAAAUAUCGACUGAUCCGUACUCUUCCCCCAACGAAGGGCCGCGCUCGUACGUAUGAGAAGGCGAGGAGGGAGUGAGGCGGUGGGGGGGGUGUCGAUUGGAAGGCACGUCAAAAGCAUUAUAGCGAGAACAGUUACGCCGCAACAAUCGAGGGAUAAAAAUGAAGUGCGGAGGGAAAAGUGCGAUGGGAAGUGAAAAAAAAUUGAACGGGUGGAACAAAAAUGAGAAGGGAAUAGAAAUAACGAGAAAUGUAUUUUAGCCAGAUAAAACCUGAGAAAUGAGAUAUGAUUUGUGAAUGUGUUAUGAAAAAAUCGAUUCGAAAAAAAAGGAAAGAUGGGUUUUUUUCAUUCUUACGGAGUCCAAGCGAUGGAAGACUCUCUACAAUCCUCGGACCAUAUUCUCGCGGUCCAAUCACCGACGGUCAAAAAAUUUUUCACGAAUAUGGGAUUUCUCUCGACGCUAAUAACCGGCCCGUACUGCACUUUGAAUCUGGUGACCUGUCAUCGCAGAAAAAUACCUGGCCAUCUUUGGAAGCACUGAAAAACUCGGUUCCAGUCUUCGAAUUAAUCCAAAGAACUUUGUCGCACGGAUCGCGAUGGCUGUCCUCGAUUAAGCUCGUUUCAACGGGCUCCGAACCUCUCCUGAUGUCCCAGAAAGCUACUUGUCCAGACAUCAAGCCACUGACGAGUGUGUUGCUGUCUUUCGGGCUGUACUCAAUCGUAAAAAUCGGGCAUUGCGGUUUCAGUGUUAAAAAAGGGUUGUUCGGGUUUUCUGGAAAAAUCCUCCACUCGACGGUGGAUGGAAUCAGUUACGGAGAAUCUCCGAUUCCGAGACACUCUUGACGAAAUAUUAUCGAAUAAAAUUUACCUACGUCCCAGAUGUACGAGCAGGGACUGUAAUUUUUGGCCUUUUUGAAAUCGGUGUUGCAGUAACUGACGGCCAACCUUGUGCCUUGGUCGGGUGACCAAGAGAGGUGGGUGAUCGGACGUUUGAGAGGCGCCAAAUCGCGAUAAACGUUCACUGUACGAGAAUAAGUUCGCUGCACCAAUGGGGCUGGCUCGGUGUCCUGAAAAUACUGUUCGUAUAUGUUGCAAGCGUUGUUUUGAAGUAUGCAGUGUUCCAUCGGCUUCGUGAAAUGGAAAAUAAAAAAACAAUAAGAAACAUUUCUGUCAAGAAAACAA
Molecule: long non-coding RNA, 1490 nt
Organism: Venturia canescens
Lineage: Eukaryota; Metazoa; Arthropoda; Insecta; Hymenoptera; Ichneumonidae
Exons: 2
Source: RefSeq, a predicted model, not a curated record